UUGGGAUGGCUGGAGCUGAUUGCAAUCCAUGGCUUCUGAUGCCGUUGUGGCUUACAAAGACAGCCUGUGUAACAUUCUUAUGGUAAUGUCAUGCUAAAUGACUGGAGCAAACUGCAGGACAAGAUAAGGUGUCAGAGUGAAAGGAAUUAGCAUGGAGACUUACUGAAAACAUCUUGCAAAAGAAAUAAACACAAUAUAUGUAAAAGAAGACACAUGGACAUCACUGGAGCUGCCUCAUUGCUGACGGUAUGAAGUAGCAGCAGUCUAUCUCAUAUGUGUAUUAUGAUCAAACUCAAUGAAAAAAAUAUUUUUUGGUUGGUUUAAAAAGAAAGGGGAAGAAUGGAAAAAUAGCUGUGGUAGGUACCGUCUUCCACAUGCUGGGUACAAGUAUGCUCAUGGGAGACCCAAACAACAGCCUCGGUGAUGGAAUAAACGAGAAGGUGCAUAAUGUGCAAAGCAGCUUGUCUGUGAAUGAUACAACACUGAAAGAAUUGCCAAAGCAGAGACUGAGUAUGAUGCAAAGCUCACAGAUUUGACAGAAACCAUGCAUUGAGGAUGACCUUAGAAGUUACUUUCAGAGAAACAGCAGAAUUGGAAAAGUGAAAAGGUGACUUGUCACAGAUGAACAACACCGUAUUCAAAGGUAUUCUCGGUUGUAGCAUCUGAAAUCAAACAAGUCAGAAAAAAUCAGAUCAGUAGGGAAUUUAAAAAUAUAUGCAGAAAGUAGGAAGAACUCUGCACUAUUGAGGGUGACAGUUAAUUUAUUCCACUCCUCUCCCUGCCUCGGAGGCCUCUUGGCAGAUAAGAUCAUUGUGUUCAGAGAGUUCUCCCCAGCUUCUCAAUAUGAAACAUGCCUAGAAGAUGACACCAGUCCUUAUGUUCAUUGUUGUUUGCAGAAUGUGAUACACGGUUCAUAAAGAUAUUUUUUCAGAAAGAAGACACAAUGAAAUGUAGUAAUCUUGAAAGGAAAAAAACAAAUGUAUCCCAGCUAUCUACAGAUCAGGAACAGGGUGAUAUGUACGGUACUGAUUAGCUUCAUAUUUAUUAGGCAGAACAAUAAAAUGUAGAGAGGAUGCAUGUGCUCUGUGAGUUAAUUCUAAUGGCUGAUGUCAAGGGAAACUCCAAGGCUGGAAAAAGAAAAAGAAGACAUUCACAAGAAUCCUAAUGUAACAAGUAAUUUAUAUCCUUUAGCUGUCUGCUUCACUGACAGUAAUGAUUAGAAACCAGGAUAUUUUUGACAUCAAAUUUUUACACAUGUAAAAUGUAUUAUAAUGUUAUCUAUAUUCUUCCAUUAUAAUAUACUUUGUUGUGUAGUAGUAAAUGCAUUAUUUUACUGUUCAUAUUGCAAACCAUAUUAUGGUUUGACCAUUUUUUUUUGUUAAUUAUCUUGGUCAAGUCUGCACAGUUAAUAAUCGAAGUCCACAAAUGUACAGUAAUCCUUCAUACAAAAACAAGAAAGUAUAGCUUAUAAUAAAACAAUUAUACAUUUAAUCUUAAUUAGCAACUUAAUAUUACACAAAAGUAAUGUUUUAUAAUUUCAACAGCAGGAAUAUAUAAGCAGUGUAAUGCUUUAAAUAAAACAUUAUACAGUAAUAAGUAAUCGACAUAUAAUUUAAAUGCAAAGAGCAGGGCUGCAGGCUGCAUUCCUUAUUGCAAGCUGAAAUCGUAGAUUUAAUCAUGUUAUGGCUACAGUGCCAAGUCAUGUAAAAAGAACUUUCUAGACAAUGUGUGAACCACUAAUUACAGGCUCCAAAAAGUAAAGAAACCAAAGGUUAGGAAAUGUAAUGCCAAACACUGGCACAGAUCCAGAAGUUCUCCACCUGAGGCAGUGAACAUGGUAAUUAACUAAGGUAAUGUCAACACUUUGGCAAAAGAUUUUAAUAAUGGUGUCUUUUUAUCUUAAUGUUUGAUGCUAUCUCUCUGUUUUUUCCUUCCUUUGUUUUACAUUUGCUCAUAAUUGAUCAUAUCCUCUGCUCACCU
This is a long non-coding RNA of Polypterus senegalus (gray bichir), 1980 nucleotides long. RefSeq lists it as uncharacterized. The transcript is spliced from 3 exons. The record is from RefSeq and is a predicted model, not a curated record. Lineage: Eukaryota; Metazoa; Chordata; Cladistia; Polypteriformes; Polypteridae.